Molecule: ribosomal RNA, 253 nt
Filed under: uncultured bacterium
Lineage: Bacteria
Description: partial 16S ribosomal RNA
Rfam family: Bacterial small subunit ribosomal RNA
Source: RNAcentral
UACGGGGGGGGCAAGCGUUGUUCGGAAUUACUGGGCGUAAAGGGCUCGUAGGCGGCCAACUAAGUCAUACGUGAAAUCCCUCGGCUUAACCGGGGAACUGCGUCUGAUACUGGAUGGCUUGAGUUCGGGAGAGGGAUGCGGAAUUCCAGGUGUAGCGGUGAAAUGCGCAGAUAUCAGGAGGAACACCGAUGGCGAAGGCAGGUCUCUGGGCCACUACUGACGCUGAGAAGCGAAAGCAUGGGGAGCGAACAGG